This 433-nucleotide ribosomal RNA is filed under the name uncultured bacterium. RNAcentral describes it as "partial 16S ribosomal RNA". It matches the Rfam family "Bacterial small subunit ribosomal RNA", at positions 29 to 507 of the family's 1533-position model. The record is from RNAcentral.
AACGAACGCUGGCGGCAUGCCUAACACAUGCAAGUCGAACGAGACCUUCGGGUCUAGUGGCGCACGGGUGCGUAACGCGUGGGAACCUGCCCUUAGGUUCGGAAUAACUCCCCGAAAGGGGUGCUAAUACCGGAUAAUGUCUUCGGACCAAAGAUUUAUCGCCUUUGGAUGGGCCCGCGUUGGAUUAGCUAGUUGGUAGGGUAAAAGCCUACCACGGCGACGAUCCAUAGCUGGGCUGAGAGGAUGAUCAGCCACACUGGGACUGAGACACGGCCCAGACUCCUACGGGAGGCAGCAGUGGGGAAUAUUGGACAAUGGGCGAAAGCCUGAUCCAGCAAUGCCGCGUGAGUGAUGAAGGCCUUAGGGUUGUAAAGCUCUUUUACCCGGGAUGAUAAUGACAGUACCGGGAGAAUAAGCUCCGGCUAACUCCGUG